This 434-nucleotide ribosomal RNA is filed under the name uncultured bacterium. Its description in RNAcentral is "partial 16S ribosomal RNA". It matches the Rfam family "Bacterial small subunit ribosomal RNA", at positions 29 to 507 of the family's 1533-position model. The record is from RNAcentral.
AGCGAACGCUGGCGGCAGGCCUAACACAUGCAAGUCGAACGAACCAUUCGGGGUUAGUUGCGGACGGGUGAGUAACACGUGGGAACGUGCCCUUAGGUUCGGUAUAACUCAGGGAAACUUGAGUUAAUACCGAAUGAGCCCUUCGGGGGAAAGAUUAAUCGCCUUUAGAGCGGUCCGCGGCUGAUUAGCUAGUUGGUUGAGGUAAUGGCUCACCAAGGCGACGGCCAGUAGCUGGUCUGAGAGGAUGAUCAGCCACAUUAGGACAGCGACACGGCCCGAACUCGUACAGGAGGCAGGAGAGGUGAAUGUUGCACAAUGGGCGAAAGCCUGACGCUGCCCGGCCGCGUAAAUAAUGUAGGUCGUAGGAUUGUAAAAUUCUUUCACCGGGGAAGAUAAUGACGGUACCCGGAGAGGAAGCCCCGGCUAACUACGUG